This 301-nucleotide ribosomal RNA is filed under the name uncultured bacterium. Its description in RNAcentral is "partial 16S ribosomal RNA". It matches the Rfam family "Bacterial small subunit ribosomal RNA", at positions 509 to 807 of the family's 1533-position model. The record is from RNAcentral.
CAGUAGCCGCGGUAAUACAGAGGGUGCGAGCGUUAAUCGGAUUUACUGGGCGUAAAGCGUGCGUAGGCGGCUUCUUAAGUCGGAUGUGAAAUCCCUGAGCUUAACUUAGGAAUUGCAUUCGAUACUGGGAAGCUAGAGUAUGGGAGAGGAUGGUAGAAUUCCAGGUGUAGCGGUGAAAUGUGUAGAGAUCUGGAGGAAUACCGAUGGCGAAGGCAGCCAUCUGGCCUAAUACUGACGCUGAUGUACGAAAGCAUGGGGAGCAAACAGGAUUAGAUACCCCCGUAGUCCCUGUCUCUUAUAC